RNAcentral lists this ribosomal RNA (847 nucleotides) under Boeremia exigua var. exigua. RNAcentral describes it as "eukaryotic LSU rRNA". The stretch from base 1 to 188 matches the Rfam family "Eukaryotic small subunit ribosomal RNA", at positions 1646 to 1831 of the family's 1831-position model. The record is from RNAcentral. Lineage: Eukaryota; Fungi; Ascomycota; Dothideomycetes; Pleosporales; Didymellaceae.
UACGUCCCUGCCCUUUGUACACACCGCCCGUCGCUACUACCGAUUGAAUGGCUCAGUGAGGCCUCCGGACUGGCUCGAAGAGGUUGGCAACGACCACUUCGAGCCGGAAAGUUCGUCAAACUCGGUCAUUUAGAGGAAGUAAAAGUCGUAACAAGGUUUCCGUAGGUGAACCUGCGGAAGGAUCAUUACCUAGAGUUGUAGGCUUUGCCUACCAUCUCUUACCCAUGUCUUUUGAGUACCUUCGUUUCCUCGGCGGGUCCGCCCGCCGAUUGGACAAACUUAAACCCUUUGUAAUUGAAAUCAGCGUCUGAAAAAACAUAAUAGUUACAACUUUCAACAACGGAUCUCUUGGUUCUGGCAUCGAUGAAGAACGCAGCGAAAUGCGAUAAGUAGUGUGAAUUGCAGAAUUUAGUGAAUCAUCGAAUCUUUGAACGCACAUUGCGCCCCUUGGUAUUCCAUGGGGCAUGCCUGUUCGAGCGUCAUUUGUACCUUCAAGCUCUGCUUGGUGUUGGGUGUUUGUCUCGCCUUUGCGUGUAGACUCGCCUUAAAACAAUUGGCAGCCGGCGUAUUGAUUUCGGAGCGCAGUACAUCUCGCGCUUUGCACUCAUAACGACGACGUCCAAAAAGUACUUUUUACACUCUUGACCUCGGAUCAGGUAGGGAUACCUGCUGAACUUAAGCAUAUCAAUAAGCGGAGGAAAAGAAACCAACAGGGAUUGCCCUAGUAACGGCGAGUGAAGCGGCAACAGCUCAAAUUUGAAAUCUGGCGUCUUUGGCGUCCGAGUUGUAAUUUGCAGAGGGCGCUUUGGCAUUGGCAGCGGUCCAAGUCCCUUGGAACAGGACGUCA